AAUGGCCGCAGUAUCUUGACUGUGCAAAGGUAGCAUAAUCAUUAGUUUCUUAAUUAGGAACUGGAAUGAAAGGUUGGACGAGAAAAUUACUGUCUCUUUAUAAAUUUUUUAGAAUUUUAUAUUUAAGUUAAAAAGCUUAAAUUUGUUUAAAAGACGAGAAGACCCUAUAGAGUUUUAUAAUUUUUUUUAUUAAUAAUUUCUAUAGAAUUUUUUUAAUUUUAAUGUAAAGAUUAUUUAAUUGGGGUGAUUAAAAAAUUUAAAAAACUUUUUUUUUAUUAAACCAUAAAUUUAUGAUGUAUUGAUCCAUAUUUAAUGAUUAUAAGAUUAAAUUACCUUAGGGAUAACAGCGUAAUUUCUUUUAAGAGUUCUAAUCGAUAAAGAAGUUUGCGACCUCGAUGUUGGAUUAAAAUUAAGUUUUGGUGUAGCAGCUAAAAUUUUAGGUCUGUUCGACCUUUAAAAUUUUACAUGAUCUGAGUUUAAACCGGUGUGAGCCAGGUUGGUUUCUAUCUUUAAAAUUAAUAAAUAUUUUAGUACGAAAGGACCAAAUAUUUAUAAUAUUUAUUUUUUAGGAAUAUUAUUAAUUAA
RNAcentral lists this ribosomal RNA (585 nucleotides) under Iotarphia magna. Its description in RNAcentral is "partial large subunit ribosomal RNA". It matches the Rfam family "Bacterial large subunit ribosomal RNA", at positions 1926 to 2764 of the family's 2925-position model. Lineage: Eukaryota; Metazoa; Arthropoda; Insecta; Coleoptera; Staphylinidae. The record is from RNAcentral.